This 77-nucleotide transfer RNA is filed under the name Alphaproteobacteria bacterium. Its description in RNAcentral is "tRNA-Pro". It matches the Rfam family "tRNA". Rfam says of the family: Transfer RNA (tRNA) molecules are approximately 80 nucleotides in length. Their secondary structure includes four short double-helical elements and three loops (D, anti-codon, and T loops). Lineage: Bacteria; Pseudomonadati; Pseudomonadota; Alphaproteobacteria. The record is from RNAcentral. RNAcentral also lists the same sequence under 1 other name.
CAGCGUGUAGCUUAGUCCGGCGAAAGUGCCUGCAUCGGACGCAGGAGAUCGGAGGUCGAAUCCUCCCACGCUGACCA